Molecule: ribosomal RNA, 424 nt
Filed under: uncultured Marinilabiliales bacterium
Lineage: Bacteria; Pseudomonadati; Bacteroidota; Bacteroidia; Marinilabiliales
Description: bacterial SSU rRNA
Rfam family: Bacterial small subunit ribosomal RNA
Source: RNAcentral
UGAGGAAUAUUGGUCAAUGGGCGUAAGCCUGAACCAGCCAUCCCGCGUGAAGGAAGAAGGCGCUAUGCGUCGUAAACUUCUUUUCCGGAGGAAUAAAAUUUUGUACGAGUACAGAACUGAAGGUACUCCGGGAAUAAGCAUCGGCUAACUCCGUGCCAGCAGCCGCGGUAAUACGGAGGAUGCAAGCGUUAUCCGGAUUUAUUGGGUUUAAAGGGUGCGUAGGCGGAUUAAUAAGUCAGUGGUGAAAACCUUCAGCUUAACUGGAGAACUGCCAUUGAUACUGUUAGUCUUGAGUACGGUCAAGGUAGGCGGAAUGUGUAAUGUAGCGGUGAAAUGCUUAGAUAUUACACAGAACACCGAUUGCGAAGGCAGCUUACUGGGCCAUUACUGACGCUGAUGCACGAAAGCGUGGGGAGCGAACAGG